This 515-nucleotide ribosomal RNA is filed under the name uncultured bacterium. Its description in RNAcentral is "partial 16S ribosomal RNA". It matches the Rfam family "Bacterial small subunit ribosomal RNA", at positions 28 to 523 of the family's 1533-position model. The record is from RNAcentral.
GAUGAACGCUGGCGGCGUGCCUAAUACAUGCAAGUCGAGCGAAUGGAUUAAGAGCUUGCUCUUAUGAAGUUAGCGGCGGACGGGCGAGUAACACGUGGGUAACCUGCCCAUAAGACUGGGAUAACUCCGGGAAACCGGGGCUAAUACCGGAUAACAUUUUGAACCGCAUGGUUCGAAAUUGAAAGGCGGCUUCGGCUGUCACUUAUGGAUGGACCCGCGUCGGAUUAGCCAGUUGGUGGGGUAACGGCUCACCAAGGCAACGAUGCGUAGCCGACCUGAGAGGGUGAUCGGCCACACUGGGACUGAGACACGGCCCAGACUCCUACGGGAGGCAGCAGUAGUGAAUCUUCCGCAAUGGACGAAAGUCUGACGGAGCAACGCCGCGUGAGUGAUGAAGGCUUUCGGGUCGUAAAACUCUGUUGUUAGGGAAGAACAAGUGCUAGUUGAAUAAGCUGGCACCUUGACGGUACCUAACCAGAAAGCCACGGCUAACUACGUGCCAGCAGCCGCCGUAA